AAGAAGUGGUUCAAGGGCCUCAUGAACCGAUUCUAGACAUGCAUGUACCACCCAUGGCAGCUUGCUUUUAAUUACUCUGGUUGAUGUGUGCUCUGCACCUCCACGUCUGCGUGCCAUCGGGUGUUCUACAUUUUUUUUCAAGCACACGCAAGAGAUGUGCUACCAUUUCGUUUAAUGACCUUCGUAUUAUUCCACAUUACCACUUCGGUUUAUGUAUGUAUGUAUUGAUGUGAUAUUGGUGACUUGUGAGGGUUGUGAAAUUACAUGAGUAGCACCGUUAAGUGUUUUUCAUAACUACAUAAUUACUUUGUCUUCUUAUGUACCCACUCCAUUUCAUAGUUUUUGUUGUCCUUUCAAAUUUGAACUAAAACCACGACAAGAAUUAGGGAACCAAGGGAGUAUAUUGUAUUACUAUGAUCAUCAUAUUAUUUUCCCUGAUUUGAACAUAGUCUGCUCAUCUCACUUUUCCCAUCAAGCAUCAGUACUGUUAACAGUUUCUUCAUGUCCCUUAUAUAUAACAAGUUAAUUAACUCUAGCACCCCUAUAAAAAACUUGCAACUUUGGUGUUCUUUUUUGUUUCCUUUUACAAGGGAGACGAUUUGCCCUUUCUUUUCCGGGGGCAAUAUCUUUUGAAAUGGAUAGAAUGUCUCACACUUCUUCGUCGACCGAUAUAUGUAUGUGCACAACCAUUCUAUUUACAAAGUUUCAAAUCCUUGAAAAACUAAAAUUAAGAGCCGAAAAAGCAAAUAAAACAGUAACAUGUUAGAACUCAGCAUUUAAGAUUUCCUUUCUGUAUAUUGUUUCGCCCCUGACCAAUAUUCACAAUUUUUUAAGAACUGCUCAAAAAGUAUUUGGCCUUAAUUGAACAUAUGAGUAUAUAUGUGACUAUAAGAAUGGCGAGCUCACUCUUAACCAGUACAAUACAACUUAAUUUGUGGUACUACUCCUAAUUUCAUUUUAAUCUUUGUAGAACCAUCGCCGAUGGUAAUUAUUCAAAUAUAAUAUAAUAUUUUUGAUCAAGAUUAUGUCUUCUUCUCGACUCUUGCUGAAAAUUGCUGAUUUUCUCCGAAACCUUUAAAAAAAAUCAACAAAUAGUUUUCUUCGGGCGUCGACAUUCUAUGACUCGAGACCACAAAACCCAGAGACUCCACGCAUUACGGUCAAUGCACAAGUACUAAAAAAAUAUGUGCCUUUGUUUUAUUCAGAUGAACGAACUUGUGCUUCUUUUGUUCGGGCACGCAGUAAUUUUAAAAAAAUUCCUACGAUCAUGCAAGAUUUAUCUAGGUGAUGCAUAGCAACGAAAGGGGAGAGUGUUGUCUACGUAUCCUCGUAGACCGAAAGCGGAAGCGUUAUGACAACGCAGUUGAUGUAGUCGUACGUCUUCACGAUCCGACUGAUCCUAGCACCGAAGGUACGGCACCUCCACUCUCUGCACACGUUCAGCUCGGUGACGUCCCACGAACUCUAGAUCCAGCUGUGGUCAAGCGAGAAUUUCGUCAGCACGACGGCGUGAUGACGGUGAUGAUGAACUUAUUGACGCAGGGCUUCGCCUAAGCACUACAACGAUAUGACCGAUGUGGGAGGGGGCACCGCACACGGCUAAACAAUCAACUUUUGUGUCUAUGGGGUACCCCCUUCCCGUAUAUAAAGGACUGGAGGAGGAGGCUGGCCGGCCACAAGGGGCGCGCCAAGGGGGAGGACUCCUACUCCCACUAGGAGUAGGUUUCCCCCGUUUUCUAGUCCAAGAAGGAGAAGAAGGGAAAGAGGAGAGAAGAGAAGGAAGGAGAGGGGGGCGCCCCCCUUCCCUUGUCCAAUUCGGACUGGCAAGGGGAGGAAGGCGCGCCACCUCUGGCCGACCCUCUCUCUUCUCCACUAAGGCCCGUUAAGGCCCAUUAGUCCCCCGGAGGGUUCCGGUAACCUUCUGGUACUCCGGUUUUAUCCGAAACUUCUCUGGAACACUUCCGGUGUCCGAAUAUAGCCGUCCAAUAUAUCAAUCUUCAUGUCUCGACCAUUUAGAGACUCCUCGUCAUGUCCGUGAUCACAUCCGGGACUCCGAACAAUCUUUGGUACAUCAAAACAUAUAAACUCAUAAUAUCGAUUGUCAUCGAACGUUAAGCGUGCGGACCCUACGGGUUCGAGAACUAUGUAGAUAUGACCGAGACUCACUUUCGGUCAAUAACCAAUAGCGGAACCUGGAUGCUCAUAUUGGUUCCUACAUAUUCUACGAAGAUCUUUAUCGGUCAAACCGCAUAACAACAUACGUUGUUCCCUUUGUCAUUGGUAUGUUACUUGCCUGAGAUUCGAUCGUCGGUAUCAUCAUACCUAGUUCAAUCUUGUUACCGGUAAGUCUCUUUACUCGUUCCGUAAUGUAUCAUCCCGCAACUAACUCAUUAGUCACAUUGCUUGCAAGGCUUAUAGUGAUAUGCCUCGUCGAGAGGGCCCAGAGAUACCUCUCCGAAACACGGAGUGAUAAAUCCUAAUCUUGAUCUAUGCCAACCCAACAAACACCAUCAGAGACACUUGUAGAGCAUCUUUAUAAUCACCCAGUUACUUUGUGACGUUUUAUAGCACACUAAGUGUUCCUCCGGUAUUCGGAAGUUGCAUAAUCUCGUAGUCAUAGGAACAUGUAUAAGUUAUGGAGAAAGCAAUAGAAACAAACUAAACGAUCAUAGUGCUAAGAUAACGGACGGGUCAAGUCAAACACAUCAUUCUCUAAUGAUGUGAUCCCGUUCAUCAAAUGACAACUUUUGUCAAUGGCUAGGAAACUUUAACCAUCUUUGAUCAAUGAGCUAGUUAAGUAGAGGUCUACUAGUGACACUUUGUUUGUCUAUGUAUUCACACAUGUACUAAGUUUCCGGUUAAUACAAUUCUAGCAUGAAUAAUAAACAUUUAUCAUGAUAUAAGUAAAUAUAAAUAACAACUUUAUUAUUGCCUCUAGGGCAUAUUUCCUUCAGUCUCCCACUUCCACUAGAGUCAAUAAUCUAGAUUACAUUGUAAUGAUUCUAACACCCAUGGAGUCUUGGUGCUGAUCAUGUUUUGCUCGUGAGAGAGGCUUAGUCAACGGGUAUGCAACAUUCAGAUCCGUAUGUAUCUUGCAAAUCUCUAUGUCCCCUUUCGACACUUGAUGAUAGAUGGAAUUGAAGCAUCUCUUGAUGUGCUUGGUUCUCUUGUGAAAUAUGGAUUCCUUCGCCAAGGCAAUUGCUCCAGUAUUGUCACAAAAGAUUUUCAUUCGACCCGAUGCACUAGGUAUGACAGCUAGAUCAGAUAUGAACUCCUUCAUCCAGACUCCUUCAUUUGUUGCUUCUGAAGCAGCUAUGUAUUCCGCUUCACACGUAGGUCCCGCCACGACGCUCUGCUUAGAACUGCACCAACUGACAGCUCCACCAUUCAAUAUAAACAUGUAUCCGGUUUGUGACUUAGAGUCAUCCGGAUCAGUGUCAAAGCUUGCAUCGACGUAACCACUUACAACGAGCUCUUUGUCAUCUCCAUAAAUGAGAAACAUAUCCUUAGUCCUUUUCAGGUAUUUUAGGAUGUUUCUUGACCGCUUUCCACUGAUCCACUCCUGGAUUACUUUGGUACCUCCCUACUAUACUUAUAGCAAGGCACACAUCAGGUCUGGUACACAACAUUGCAUACAUGAUAGAACCUAUGGCUGAAGCAUAGGGAUUGACUUUCAUUUUCUCUCUAUCUUCUGCAGUGGUUGGGCAUUGGGUCUCACUCAACUACACACCUUGUAACACAUGCAAGAACCCUUUCUUUGACUAAUCAAUUUUGAACUUCUUCAAAAUCUUAUCAAGGUAUGUGCUUUGUGAAAGUCCAAUUAAGCGUCUUGAUCUAUCUCUAUAGAUCUUGAUGCCCAAUAUAUAAACAGCUUCACCGAGGUCUUUCAUUGAAAAAGUCUUAUUCAAGUAUCCUUUUAUGCUAUCCAGAAAUUCUAUAUCAUUUCCAAUCAACAAUAUGUCAUUCACAUAUAAUAUUAGAAAUGCUACAGAGCUACCACUCAAUUUAUUUAAUUACAUGCUUCUUCAAAAGUUUGUAUAAAACCAUAUGCUUUGAUCACACUAUCAAAGCGUUUAUUCCAACUCCGAGAGGCUUGCACCAGUCCAUAAAUGGAUUGCUGGAGCUUGCACACUUUGUUAGCAUCCUUUGAAUAAACAAAACCUUCCGGUUGCAUCAUAUACAACUCUUCAUCCAGAAAUCCAUUCAGGAAUGCAGUUUUGACAUCCAUUUGUCAAAUUUCAUAAUCAUAAAAUGUGGCAAUUGCUAACAUGAUUCGGACAGACUUAAGCAUCGCUAUGGAUGAGAAAGUCUCAUCAUAGUCAACUCCUUGAACUUGUUGAAAACCUUUUGCAACAAGUCGAGCUUUAUAGACAGUAACAUUACUGUCAGCGUCAGUCUUCUUCUUGAAGAUCCAUUUAUUCUAGAUGGCUUGUCGAUCAUCUGGAAAAUCAACCAAAGUCCACACUUUGUUCUCAUACAUGGAUCCAUCUCAGAUUUCAUGGCAUCAAGCCAUUUCACGGAAUCUGGGCUCAUCAUCGCUUCCUCAUAGUUCAUAGGUUCGUUAUGGUCUAGUAACAUGACGUCCAGAACAAGAUUACCGUACCACUCUGGUGCGGAUCUUACUCUAGUUGACCUACGAGGUUCAGUAGUAACUUGAUCUGAAGUUUCAUGAUCACUAUCAUUAGCUUCCUCACUAAUUGGUGUAGGAAUCACCGGAACUGAUUUUUGUGAUGAACUACUUUCCAAUUCGGGAGCAGGUACAAUUACCUCAUCAAGUUCUACUUUCCUCCUACUCACUUCUUUCGAGAGAAACUCCUUCUCUAGAAAUGAUCCAUUCUUAGCAACGAAUAUCUUGCCUUCGGAUCUCUAAUAGAAGGUGUAUCCAAUAAUUUCCUUUGGGUAUCCCAUGAAGACGCACUUCUCCGAUUUGUGUUCGAGCUUAUCAGGUUGAAGCUUUUUCACAUAAGAAUCACAGCCCUAAACUUUAAGAAACGACAACGUUGGUUUCUAGCCAAACCACAAUUCAUAAGGCAUCAUGUCAAUGAAUUUUGAUAGUGCCCUAUUUAAAUUGAAUGCAGCCGUCUCUAAAGCAUAACCCCAAAACGAUAGCGGUAAAUCAGUAAGAGACAUCAUAGAUCGCACCAUAUCUAAUAAAGUACGGUUACGAUGUUCGGACACACCAUUUUGCUGUGGUGUUACAGGUGGCGUUAGUUGUGAAACUAUCUCAUGUUGUUUCAAAUGAAGACCAAACUCGUAACUCAAAUAUUCUCCUCCACGAUCAGAUCUUAGAAACUUUAUUUCUUGUUACGAUGAUUUUCCACUUCACUCUAAAAUUCUUCGAAUUUUCAAAUGUUUCAGACUUAUGUUUCAUCAAAUAGAUAUAAUGAUACGUCUCCAACGUAUCUAUAAUUUUUGAUUGUUCCAUGCUAUUAUAUUACCUGUUUUGGAUGUUUAAUGGACUGGACUUUACUAAGCACUUUUAUAUUAUUUUUGGGACUAACCUAUUAACCGGAGGCCCAUCCCAAAUUGCAGUUUUUUUUGCCUAUUUCAGAGUUUUCGCAGAAAAGGAAUAUCAAAUGGAGUCCAAACGGAAUAAAACCUUCGGGAGAGUUAAUUUUGGAACAAAUGCAAUUCAGGAGACUUAGAGUGGACGUCAAAAAAGAAACGAGGCGACCAUAAGGCAGGGACAGCAGCAACAGCAGCAACAACAACAGCAGCAACAACAACAGCAACAACAACAACAGCAACAACAACAGCAGCAGCAACAACAACAACANNNNNNNNNNNNNNNNNNNNNNNNNNNNNNNNNNNNNNNNNNNNNNNNNNNNNNNNNNNNNNNNNNNNNNNNNNNNNNNNNNNNNNNNNNNNNNNNNNNNACAACAACAACAACAACAACAACAACAACAACAACAACAACAACAACAACAACAAGUUAGCCAACCUCAACCACUAUGUCGAGUUAGGGAUCCAUAAUGCUUACAUUCGAAGUUUAUUCUCUCCAUUGUAGUGGUUUAGGCGUCCCAAAUAUUUAUUACCUCAAUAUAUGUCUCGCUGGCUCCUCGGAAAAGAGAUAUAUGCAUGGAGAAGGCAAAAUUUGAGAUACUAUAAUUUAUGCAUAAUAUCAUGCUUCAUAUCCAAACAUUUUCCGUUGCGAUAUAGUAGGCACAUCAACAUUUUGCAACAGGGUACUGUGAGGAGAAAGAGUUGUGAAGUUUGCCUACAAAUGGUCCACUAGAGAUGGUUAUAAGGUGAGGAUUUGAGAACACAGCUAGUAUGGGUCUUUUCUUUCAUUUGUACAAUACUAGAUAUAUAUAUAUUACAUAUGUAGAGAAUAUAUUAUUAUAUAGAUAAUGCCUUAGAUAGUUAACAUCCAGAGCCAGGCACCAAUCCAUCCGCCCAAAUCCCACAUGUUCAUAUACAAACGCCGAGCUUUUGAAUGUCUACGACCAAGUGACACCAUGGCCGCAUGCAAUGGAGGUGACCGAGGCAUGUUACUUUGCCUAUGGGGGACUCGGACUGCAAAGGUUAUCUACUACUUCCUCCGUCCCAAAAUAAGUGUCUUGAGCUUAGUACAAAUUUGUACUAGAGUUAGUACAAAGUUGAGACACUUAUUUUGGGACGGAGGGAGUAGAAGCCAACCGACCACUCAUGCUCCAUUCGUAUCCACAUAACAGGCCAGGGGUGGUGCUUGUUAGCUAGGGUGCCACUCAACCACUAUGUCGAAGUCUCCGACCUCGCCAUUCGUUGGGGCUAUGUUGUUGUGAGCCGAUCUAGGGGAUGUUAUAUUAGCCAACCUCGCCACCAGGAAUUGGGGUUGUUAAACUUCCCAGCUCCCUCACUUUGCCAAAUGGCAAGGGUUUUGACCAUGAUUCCUAUUGUGUGGGACGCAGUCCCUUUCUUCGGCAUCGUCAUUGACCCGUUUGUAUGCAUGGUAUGCUUUAUCUAUAGGGACCCCAAGGCGUUAUUGCUCGCGUGCAAAGAGGCUGCCGCAAUGAGUGAGCUCGCCAGCGUUUUGGCAUACGCCCUAAAGCGGCAUAGGGAGUUGUGCGCCAUCUUUUUGUUGGAAAUCGCUAUUGGGGACGAGGAGCCGUCCGGUUGUCGUGCUUGCACGCCUUUCAUAUUGUGUGAAUCGCAUCGUGGUUCUACCACGCAUCGAUGUGCCCAAGUUACUGGCAUGAUGGAUUACUUCGACUUUAUCAGAUCAUAGCAAGAUCAACAAGACGACUUUUUAUAAUAAAUUCAUGUAAUUUAUAAACUAUGUAAAGAAUUUUUAUAAAAUGUUCGUGUAAUUAGAAAAUUGUUCAUCCAUUGAACAUUCAUGUAAGUAAAAAUGUGUUCUACACAUUUUUCUAGUAAUGGGAAAAAUUGUUGGAUGCAUUUUAAAAUCAUACAAUUAUAUAAAUUUUUCUGUAUAAUAAAAUAAAGUUGUCAGAAUAUUUUAGUGUAAUGCUCAUGUAAGAAAAAUUGUAUUUGAUGGACAUUUUUAAUUUGCCUAUAUCUAAAUUAUUGUAAUAAUAAACGUCACUUACUUAUAAAUGUUUAUUACAUAUUAAAAAUGUCCAUGAACUACUUAUAAAAAAAUUAUGUAUGGAAGAAUAAAAGGGAAAACUGAUCAGAAAAAUGAAAAAGAUAAACCUAUAGAAACCUAAAAUAAAAUGGAAAGAAACAAAAAGACAUACAAAAGAGGCAGACAUCUUGCACAUGGGCCGGCCCAAAACGAUUGGUUAUGCGUGACUGCUUGACUAAACGAUGUGUCUUCUAGAAAUAAAUGACUAAACAGUGUCUCCUCAUAAAGAGAAAAGGGACUGACUCUCAAAAUAAAAGGGACUAAACAGUGGACCAAGCGUGGAAUAGGAUUUCGGGAUGCCUAAUGCACACAUUCAUCAAAAAGUGAAAAAAAAAAGGACUAAACUGUGUGCCAAGCGUGUCUUCUUUAGGCGGCCUUCGAGUUUGGUUUGAGUCGGCAAGGUGGUGGUGGUGUUUCAGUGUAGGAGAAAUGUUCUUUCCCCUCUUUCCUGGUUCAAUUGGUGUGCUCAUGAUCGGCGGAGGGCGUGUGGAGGCGUGUAUAUGGCAAUGUUUUUGGGAUCCAGGCGGUCUAGGUUUUUGAUGGAUCCGUGUGGAUUCGGGCAGCUUUUAUUGCCUCCGUUGUUUCUACAAGUUCUCAUCGUUGUUUUCUUCUCCGGGGCGGCGAUUUCCUUCGCCAGUCGCAGUCGCGGACGUCUCCUGGUUGGAAUAUCGGCACCUUCAUAGCUGUUGCUUCUACAAGCUCCUGGGUUUAAAAACGGUUGCUCCGCCGAGCCAGACGCCUAGAGGUGGCAUCGAACUAUGCUCAUGGCGCGCCGCCGGUGGAUGCAGGAGGAAGAAGACUUUGGCACCCCCAAGAGAUAUGAAUGUAAUUUUACGUUUCUAUAUGGUUGUGUUUCUAAGGACAUGUGAUGCUGGAUAUAUAUAUGGGUCUUGGGCCCUUUAACACACUCAAAAAAAAGAACACAACACAUGCCUUCCAAAGGCUAUUAACCAAAAUCUAAUUCUAGAAAGAAUGGCAAAGUAAGGGAUUUCAGUCUGCUGAGAGACUGAAUAUCUCUCCCACGUCUGAUCUUCCUAUCAUGCAUAUUGUUAUUUGAAACCGUGACACAGUUGACAUCAUCGCGUACGCAAUUGGACCACGUCGAGCAUCGACACAUACUAGUUCGCCUCUCGACGGUAGACUCGUCGAAUGCAAGGGUGCAAUCAUGCAGUACACCAGAAAAUUUCAGUUUAAUUUGCUACAGAUAUCUCUUUAUAUAUAUGCAGUGCAACUCAGAAAAAGAUAGCUUGCAGUUCCACCGUUUCGAACGAAUAAAUGUUAAUGUGGUCUAGUCAGUCAUGUGCAUGUAGCGUCACCGAUGUGAUGGAACAGGUAAGUUAAUUAACGCGUCUCCUGCGCCAAGAGGAUGCAUAUAUAUCGAAGCUGAAAUUUUAAUUUCAAGCCAACGAACCAUUUGACCAAAUACUUAAGGGCGAUCCACCUCCAUCAGAAUCCAUUCAUUUCCAGAAAAUAAAAACACCGAUUCCUUUCUCCACUACAAAUACCCCGUCCAGCCGCUCCCGUCUCCUCAGUCCACAGAAGACGUCUUCCAGGUCCAGCCACCAUGGCCCGCCUCGCCACCCUCGCCCUGCUCCUCCUCUCCCUCGUGUCCGUCGCAAGCUGCCGCGACCUUGAGGCCAUCUCCGACGACCAGGGCCCGCCCGUCCCCGUCCUCCUCACUCGAGAUGAUCAGGCGGAUGCUGCUGCUGAGGUGACGACCCUUCCGAGCUUCCCGGGCCCGGCCGUCGCAUGGGACGAGGACGAGCUCCCCUCCCACCGCGGUCACCUCUGGUUGGCGCGCCGUCACGGCUUCUUCCACCGCCCCGGCGCGUUCACCGGCCUGGGCGAGGCCCGCGUCCAACCUGCGGUCUUCUUCCCCACCGAGCUUGAUCGCGGCGAAGAGCAAGCACCCUGGAAGGCGGUGCUGGAGGCGGUUGCGGAGCCUUACCACGACUCACGCGCAGCCACCGACGGCGAGCAAAAGCCGUUUCAUGCCAAGGAGGAGGGACAGGAGAACGAGGCAGUGAAGAUGGCGAGGAGGUUCGGUCACUGCGUCGGCCUCCCCCACCGCCACCACCACGACCAGGAAGAGAAGGACAAACGACAACCACGGGCAGGACAAGGAUGAAGACAUGAACACGAAGCUGCUCGGACGCUUCCACCUCCACGCACACGACGGCGACCACGAGGCUGGCGAACUAGAAGUACUGGCGAGCACGAGGAGGAGCUUCAACCACGGCGACCACCACCUCGGGGCGGAGGAAGGCGGCGUGAAGAAGUGGUUCAAGGGCCUCAUGAACCGAUUCUAGACAUGCAUGCAUACCGCCCAGGGCGGCUGGUUUAAUUACUCUGAAUAAUGUGUGCUCUGCACCUCCGCGUCUGCGUGGCGCGUCGAUCGGCUGUUCUACCAUUUCGUUUGCCUUCGGGUUAUUUCACACUAUAUUACGGCUUCGGUUUAUGUACUGGUGUGCUACUGGUGACUUGUGAGGGUUGUGAAAUUGUUACGAGUAGCAACGUUACGUGUUUCUCAUAACUACAUGUAAUCACUUUGCCUUCUUAUGUACUCGCUUUGUUUCAUAAUUUUUAUUGUGCUUGUAGUUCAAAUUUGAUCUAAAACCGCAGCAAGAAUUAUGGAACCACGCGAGUAUAUUGCACGCAUUAUUAUGCUCAUCACUCUUUUUUUCCCUGAUGUGAACAUAGUCUGUUCAUCUCGCUUUUCGCAUCAAGCUUCAGUACUGUUAACAGUUCCGUCAUGUUCCUUAUAUGUAGCAAGUUAAUUAACUCUAGCACCCCUAUACAAAACUUGCAACUCGGUAUACUUUUCUCUUUUGCAAGGGAGACGCUGUGCCCUUUCUUUUUUGGGGGCUAUUUCUUGUCUCACACCUCUUCAUCAACCGAUAUAUAUGCGCACAACCACUCUAUUUACAAAGUUUUGAAUCCUUAAAAAAACAAAAUUAAGAGAUAAGCUAGGGUUGAAGAUUUCCUUUCUGUAUUUUGUUUUUCUCCUCACCAAUAUUCACAAUUUUUAAAGAAAUGCUGAAAAAAUUGGUCUGGAAAUCGAACAUACGAGUAUAUAUAUGACUAUAAGAAUGGUGAGAUCACUCUAAACCAGUACGGUACAACUUAAUUUGUGGUACUACUCCUAAUUUGGUUUUAAUAUUUUUAGAACCAUCACCGAUGGUAAUUAUUCAAAUGUAAUAUACUAUUUUUCAACCAAGAUUAUGUCUUCUCGACUCCUGAAAAUUGCUAAUUUUCUCCAUUUAAAAAAAUAUUGACAAUUUUUUUCCUCCAGGUGUCUACGUUCUACAGCUAGAGACCAGAAAACCCGGAGCCUCCAUACAUUAAGGUCAAUGCUACCCAUGAUCAUGCUUUUUGUAAUUGCACAAGUACUUUAGCUGGCAGUUGUCAAGAAAUUUGGUAAGCAUUCCUUAAUUUGGUGAAGGGAUUAAUUGUACGUGCAGGUAGCAUCCCCUUCCCGCUGAUUGUGAUGGAGUGAGAUAACUUGGCUUCUCCUUCGUUGUCUUUAUCCGGAAAUGCGAAAGCUUGACAAGCAAGUCUCCAAAUCUGUCUGAAUAUUAGUAGGUAAGAGGAAAAACUUGUGCAACUGCACAUCGCAUGCAUCAUCACUGUUGUCGUCUACGCUCGAUCUUCCGUCUAUUGAUUUGUGUGCAUAUGAUCGACAUUGAUCGUUACUCACCAUAAAGAGAAGGUGUGAUGGAGGGCUGAUAAUAAAUUUAGCUUUAAUUGGCGUCGAUGAUAUGCAACAACCUUAGGUGGAGUGCAACGAUGACAUCCACUUUGCCAAUUAACCUCGACAUAUGAGUUGCAACUAGAGAAAAAAGAAAGAUCGCACAAAAAAUACAAAAUAAGGUGUCGGCACUAAUGGAAGACAAGGAAAAAUGAGGAGACAAGGAAUGGGGAGAUGCAAAGCGGCCCCAUAAUGAAGAUGAGAAAAGAGACAACAUACAAAGCACCCUCGUUCUUCCACUACUACAAAGCAGUCCAAUAACAAACAGCAACAAAAAUCCCACGAAAAUGGCCAGAAGAAAAAACAAAGGAUGGACAAAAAAUGAGCAUAACUGGCGACCGCUAUGCGUCCGUCAGUUGAUUAACUGAAAACAUCGACCGCCUCCUGUGCUGCUGGAUUAAGGCUAUUCCGCAAUGAGGUGUGUAACAAUUGCAACAAGGUAGAUGUUGUGUAGCUCGCUGUGCAACAAUAGCGUAGUUGCAAAAACACCGAAAGCAUUAUUUUUGCCCUUUUCUUAUUUUUGUCUUCACAUUUUUUCGCAACAUUGAUGUUGCGGGAGGACUUUUGCAACAUAUGUGGUGUUGUAGGAAUUUUUUCUUGUCUUUACCUUUUGCAACAUAGAUGAUGUUGCGAGAGGACUUUUGCAACACGAAUGAUGUUGCAGAGAUUUUCCGCUGAAAUAGAUGAUAUCGUGUGCGGCUUGAAUCGAGAAAUUUAUGCAACAAAAAUGAUGUUGCGGGAGGACUUUUGCAACAAUGCUCUUGUUGCCAAAAGUAUAAAAAGCAUCGCCAGCCAGAGCGACGAUAGAUGGCGGAAGGGGAGGAUGGAGCAGCACAGCUGGGCAGAUGGUGGGCAGAGCGGUGUGCUUGGGCGUACGCGCUCGAGUGGUGGCCAUGGUUGCAAGCGAGCAUAGAGAGGCAGGGAAAGAGAUGCAAUGCUCGUGAUGUUUCUAGAGAAGGGGCAUGUGGUGUUAUGGACCACGAUGACACGUGUCUACAAAUACCGACGGAGAAGAAUUUUUUUGCGGGAAAAACUUCCAAUCUAUUCAUCUUCAAUCAUGUUAGUACAACAAACACUAGAAAUAAUAAAAAUUACAUCAUGAUCCAUAGACCACCUAGCAACGACUACAAGCACUGAAGCGAGUCGAAGGCGCGCCGCUGUCAUCGCCCCUCCCUCGUCGGAGCCAGGCAAACCUUGUUGUAGUAAACAGUCGGGAAGUCGUCGUGCUAAGUCCCCAUAGAACUAACGCACCAAAAUAGCAACCGUCACCGAUGAAGAGUGUAGAUCAAAAGGAUUCAAUCUGAAGAUACACUAACGAAGACGAACGACGAAUAGAUCCGAGCAAAUCCACCAAAGACAGAUCCACCGGAGACACACCUACACACGCCUACCGAUGUUGCUAGAGGCAUCACCGGAACGGGGACUAGACGGGAAGACUUUAUACCGAUGGAGAAGAUCGAUGCAAUAGUAUGAUCCGCCGUCUGAUGGGAAUAGUUUCCCAACAAAAAUACACAGACAACCGGACUUCGCGAUGACGCUAGGAGCGCAUGACAAAAAUAAAGCGAAAAUCGACUUUGGAAAAUAUCUUUUCUUAGACAAACUCUAGAAAAUAUCUAUUCGCCGCACGUUGCGCCGAGCUGUCGACGCAACGCACAGCCGAAACCAUGUAGCGCUACAAAUGGGCCAGCCCACUUUACUAAACUAGCCAGCCGGAUUUCGCAACCAUCGACUCACAACGGUUUUCCGCAAUUUAUUGUUUUUUCUUUUAUUUUGUUUUUCUAUUUAUGUUUCUUUUGUUUUUCUAUUUUUUUUAUUUAUCAGUUUUUAGUUUUUCGUCCUUUGUUUCUUAUUUUAUUUAUCUUGAUUUCUUUAUUUUCAAAAAAAAGUAAUUUAAAAAAAAUCAUGUUUUCUAGUUAAAUUUUUUGAAAUGUUCUUAUUUUCAAAGUUUGUUCAAUAAUUCAGAAAAUGUUUGCACUUUUCGAAAAUGGUUUGGGAUUUAAAUGAAUGAAUGUUUGUGUUUUCAUAAAUAUUUCAGAGUGUCAAAAAUAUUUCUGUUUUCAAAUUUUCCUCUCAAACUUAAAAAACGUUCACGAUUUUUAAAAUUUUACAGGAAUUUAAAAUGUUUUUGGCGCUUUAAAAAACCAGAAUUUCAAAAAAUAAUAUUCAUGUUCUUCAAUAAAAUAGUCAGAACUUCAAAAACUGUUUGCAUGUAUAAAAAAUUAUUCCCGUUUUAAUAAGUAUUCACAUUUUCAUGAAAAUCGUGUUUGAAGUUUUGAAAAAUGCUUUUAAAACUGUCACUGUCUAGACACCGUAGCUGAUCAGUUCCAAUGGCUAGUGACAAGCUCAAACCAGCGGAGUUCUUGAGUUCCAAACCUCACAGGCGCUGCUUAAAUGCCUCAUAUAGGAGGUCCCAUCAAGUUUGCACAAAGAUUUACAACAAAUAGAUCAGACGGAACACAACUUAGAUGAGACAUUAUUAAGCAACCUGUUGAAGACUUUCCCUGUCAGACAUGCAUGUAUGGACGCAUAGAAACACGCAGAGUUGAUGAUGAUGUUCCUGUCGCUACUAAAGGCAUGUGGGGUGGAUGGUGGAUGCUUCCAUUGAGAUGAAUUGUCGCCGAGUCAGCAAAUAUGCAGCAUGUUUGACCAGUCGUCGAAUGACCAGUCGGCAGCUGUAGUCUGUAGAAUGUAGAUGCAUCUUAUCCUCAGCUGAUCUUCUUGGUGGAUGCGGAUCCAUGGUAGGUCUUCUUCUCUGACUAGUUACAAUGUUACAUACCACUACAAUAUACUUAGGGUGUGUUUGGCAGCCUGCACGAAGGGUGCAUGAGCCCAAAAGUUCUUCAUCGAACCCACUUUUUACUGUUUGGUAGGGUGCAUGGGCUCUAUUGAGCUAUGCUCAACCGAUGCAAAAAAGCCCCUCAGCUAUGCUCAACCCAGCACCCCCAGUGAGGCAGCCGCCCAAGAUCUUCCGAUCUACCUCCCCCUUCCCCCACCCCUGUUGCUCAGUCAACUCGCCGUCGCCCCUCUUCAACGUCGCCAGAGGUAGCACGCCGCCGCCGCUGNNNNNNNNNNNNNNNNNNNNNNNNNNNNNNNNNNNNNNNNNNNNNNNNNNNNNNNNNNNNNNNNNNNNNNNNNNNNNNNNNNNNNNNNNNNNNNNNNNNNNNNNNNNNNNNNNNNNNNNNNNNNNNNNNNNNNNNNNNNNNNNNNNNNNNNNNNNNNNNNNNNNNNNNNNNNNNNNNNNNNNNNNNNNNNNNNNNNNNNNNNNNNNNNNNNNNNNNNNNNNNNNNNNNNNNNNNNNNNNNNNNNNNNNNNNNNNNNNNNNNNNNNNNNNNNNNNNNNNNNNNNNNNNNNNNNNNNNNNNNNNNNNNNNNNNNNNNNNNNNNNNNNNNNNNNNNNNNNNNNNNNNNNNNNNNNNNNNNNNNNNNNNNNNNNNNNNNNNNNNNNNNNNNNNNNNNNNNNNNNNNNNNNNNNNNNNNNNNNNNNNNNNNNNNNNNNNNNNNNNNNNNNNNNNNNNCCUCACUUCCUUCCCCUAACCCCCUCCAUCCAUCCUUCCUGCCAUGUCUACCUUGUAGAUCUCUGCAGUAUUCCUCUAUUCCCUUCUGAUUAUGAUGUUUAGGUGGUAAGAACGAGCACAGUAGAUGUUUCCCUUUCAUAUGUUGUAGCUAUUGUGCUCAGACUUAAUUUUGUUGAUUGCUUGUCAUGCUGAAAAAAAUUGCAUGUGAUAACUUUCAUUUGUUUUUGUUUUUUAGAUGAAUGAUUUGGCAAGAAAGCGAAGAAAAUUCAUUGUGAGAGGAGCUUGGUCUAGUUGAUCUAGUGAUGUUAUAUUGCUGAGAUUUUGUUUCUAAAAUGUUUUAUUUCCCAAUCAUGCUGAGAUAUGACCAGUAAUUUUUUCUUCAUAUUCAUAUAUAGCCGAAAUGAUUUUUAUUGUUUAGAUUAUGUUGAAACGGAGAUGUUUAUUGUUCGAAUUAUUAAUGAAGUGUUGAAGUGUUGUUCGAAAUUGUAUUGGCGCAAAAAAAAUUGUUGAUGCAUCCUACCUUGUAUACAGGCUACCAAACACAAUCUCGACUCAGCAUGUCUCAACACAUACAUCACUACCAAACAACUGCACAUGCAUGUACACAGCAUGUCUAUACUUGACAUGUCUCAAAUGGGAACAACUAUGCUAGGGUGGGAACAGCUACCAAACACACCCUUAGGCUUCAAUGCUCAUUGCUCAGCAAGUGGUCCGAGUGCAUCGACGAGUCUGUACAUAUAUGCACCACCAUGAGGCACACAGAGACGUGGGGCGCAGCACACCGAAGUGGACUCACAUCACAUCAAAGCCACACUCAGCCGGCAGGAUGAGGAUGCACUCACAUGCGCUGCUCGUCCUCCUCCUCGGCUGUCUCCUCGCCGGCGCGGCAACCGCCGAGCCCUCUUGGGAGCUUACUUACAAGGAUUGCCACCCCGACGACAAGGCGGUGCUGCUCGCCUUCCCGGAGUCCUGGUCCUCGUCAUGGGCGCCCGACACACCCUGCUGCGACUGGUUCGCCGCCGCCUGCGCCCGCUCCACGGGCCGCGUCGUGGGCUUCUCCGUCUUCCAGGACCCCAACUUCACGGGCACAAUCCCCAGCGCCAUAGCCGGUCUCACCCACCUGGAAGACCUUUUCCUACACCACCCCCGGGGGUAUCGGGCCCCAUACCGUCGGCGAUAGGCAAGCUCACCAACCUCUCCAGGCUCGAAAUCUCAUGGACGGCCGUGUCGGGCCCCGUGCCGUCCUCCUUGGGCAAGCUCAAGAAGCUCACCCAGCUCGACCUCUCCUUCAACUCGCUCAGCGGCGCCAUCCCGGUGUCGCUGGGCGCCAUCCCCGGCAUCACCCUCAGCCGCAACCGCCUCAGCGGCGCCAUCCCCCAGAUGUUCCUCAGCGAGUCCGCCGGCCAGGACGUCUACCUCGACGUGUCGCACAACAACCUCACCGGCCCCAUCCCGGCCUCGUUCGCUGCAGUGAACUUCACGCACCUCGACCUCUCGCGCAACGCCCUGACCGGCGACGCGUCCGGCCUCUUCGGGCGCGGGAAGGAGCUGCAGUACAUCGACCUGCCCCGCAACGCCUUUGAUUUCUACCUGUCAGGCGUGGUGGUGCUCCCGGAGAAGCUCUUCCACCUGGACCUGAGCCACAAUGCCAUCCAUGGCAGCAUCCCGGUGCAGGUCGCGAACGUGGCCAACCUGCUGGCCUUCAACGUCAGCUACAACAGGCUCUGCGGCCCCGUGCCGGCCGGCGGGAACAUGGCGAGGUUUGAUCUCUACAGCUUCCUGCACAACAAGUGCCUCUGCGGUGCUCCCCUUCCUCCGUGCAAGAAAUAGAUGGAUUUAUCUGCCGGGUUUGACAGAAUAACUAGAUGUUGAUAUUCAUAUGUCGACUGUAUUGAUGCCUCCGGAUUAAGAAUUGUGCUGAAAUAAAGUCAAGAUGAUUAUAUAUAGAGAGGUGAAGUUGCCGGCUAGCUUUGAUACUUCCUCUGUUUUUACGAGUGUUUUAAAUAGCGGGCUAUACUAAAUAGUGACGGACCUCCAAAUUAGAUAUACUGAAGCUAUAGUGGGCUAUUUUAGACAUGAGACCAUUUAACGGCACACUAUAGCGGGCUUACAGUCGGCCAUUUAAAACUAUGGUUCUUACUGUCUGACUAAAAUUUAUCAGUGGAAAUCACGAGUUAUAUGAUGUAGAACAAAGAUCCUAAAUUGUUGGGCCACGGUCAAACUUUAGUUUUACAUUAUAUUUUUUUCUUUAUUUCCCUUCUGAUGUGUUCUUCGGUUUAAAAAGUUUGGGAUAUUUGAGAGAGAUCAACCGUGCAGAUUAAAACUUAUCUCUUAUUUAAAAAGGGUCAUAUGUAUAACUUAUGGACACACCCAUCAGGCGUGACAUGGUCAGAAAGUCAACUCUAUUUAUUUUGACCAUUAAGUUGACCGUUAUGACAGGUGAGGCCCACACGUCGGCAUGUCCUCAUCCUCUCUCUCUGUUUGGCAUUUCAAUAAACACCUUGUGUGCAUCGGAUAGCACCACCGCGUCGACUGUGUGGACGCCGGCGGGGACCUACUUGUUACCUUCCAUCGAGGUGAGGAUGCUCCACGCCCCCUUGUGCUUCCCGAACUACACCUUUCACACGCUCAUGGCGGCCGUAGCCAGUAACACAAGGUGCUUCAUGAGCUACACGUUCAGUCGGGUAGCCCCACAACAGCUUCAGUCGAUGAGCGCAGCGACCCACGGCAAGUCCAGUUCAGCGAGUGCGGCGGCCCGCGGCAAGUCUAGUUUGGCUGGUGUAAAAAUUCAGAUUUUAAAAAUGUUCACAAAAUUGUAAAAAAAAUGCACAUGAAUUUAAUAAUAUUUUUAAAUGUCUUGCUAUUCUUUAAGAAAAAUCAUAAAGUUUUGAAACUGUGUGUGAAUUAAAAAAGCAAAAUUUUAAAAUGGUCACGAAUUUGAAAUAUGUGUUGACAAAUUUAAAAUUGAUCAUGAACGUUGGGAAAUGUAAAUUAAAAAUCACCAAUAAUACUAAUAAUAAAGAAAAAAAUAGAAAACCAUACCAAGAAGGAUGAGAACCUGGGGAAACCUAGCAGAAAAAUUAAAAAAAACGAGAGAAAAAAAACACUACUAUCUACCCUAGCGGGUGAACCUUCUUACUGUGCCUGGCCAUCACGGACCCUGUGCGAAGAAUAAAUUCUAUGCAACGUGUAGAGAGGAAAUUUCGAGAGCUCCUCCUUGGCGCCUUCAGCGCCCGCUGGCAAUUCUAGCGCCCGCUGUGUCGCUAGCAUGGGCCUGGCCCAGCAGCGCACGCUCGGUUCCCUCGAUCGCUGGAUGCCGCCGCUCGCUCCAUCGCUGGCUGCCCCUGCUCCCUGCAUCGCUGACUCCCGCUUGAUCAUUUUUUUUUCAUUCUAAAAACUGCUACAGUAUAGAUUGCGUUUCUUGGAAAAAACCCGGCUUACAACAGUAUAUACUCUUGUUCUUAGAAAAAAGUUCAUCGAACUUGAAAUUUAGUUCAUUGAAUUUGAAAAAAAAAAGUUUAUCCAUUUUAAAAAAAGUUCAUCAAGUUUGAAAAUAAGUUCAUAGAAUUUGAAAAAAGUUCAAUGAAUUUGAAAAAAGGUCUUCGAAUUUUAAAAAAGUUCACCGAAUUUGAAAAUGGUUCAUCGAAUUUGAAAAUAGGUUCACCGAAUUUGAAAAAACGUUCACCGAAUUUCUCAAAAAAGUUCAUCGAAGUCGAUUUGCAGAAAAAAAAAACAUGAAGAAAAAAAGUUUCACGAAUUUGGAAAAGAAAAAAAAAGGGAAAGAAAAAUGGAAAAGCAGCAGAAGAAGAAGAAGUCGGAAAACAUGUAUGUAAUCGAACUCAUUGAAGUGGUCGAUUGGUUGGGUCGCUCUAGUCUAAACUCGCGGUCGCGGGUUCGAAACCCAUCUCAACCUUAUUUUUUGGAGUUUGGAAAAGAGAAAAAAAAGUUAAAACUGGGCCGGCCCAACGUGACAAGGGGGGUGUGCGCCCGUUAGCAGGAAUGCCUGUAACGGGCGCUUAAGGCGCUGAAUAGGAACCGAGUUUGGAAAAGAGAAAAAAAAAAGUUAAAACUGGGCCGGCCCAACGUGACAAGGGGGGUGUGCGCCCGUUAGCAGGAAUGCCUGUAACGGGCGCUCAAGGCGCUGAAUAGGAACCGAGUUUGGAAAAGAGAAAAAAAAAGUUAAAACUGGGCCGGCCCAACGUGACAAGGGGGGUGUGCGCCCGUUAGCAGGAAUGCCUGUAACGGGCGCUCAAGGCGCUGAAUAGGAACCAGCGGAAAUUUCCCCAAGGGGUAGUUCUAAAAAAAAAACUCAUGUGAGGAAAAGGAAGAAGCCCACCUUAGUUAGUUGGCCAUGAUGACGGCCCAUGUCGCCCAGUACUCGGUAAAGAAAAACAUGUCGCCCGUGAUGAUGAGCGUGUCCUGCAAGCAGCCGCCACCAAUCCAGUCCCAUUGCCUAAAAAAAACAAUCCGUUUCCUAGUCUGCGCAGUGCCCGCGCUUUCAUAAGAGACAUACGCAGCCUCGCACGAAGAUCAUAUAAGGGGGGAAUGCCUCCUCCUCGAUUGUUUUUCCUCUCCGCCGGUCCCCACUGGCCAUGGACGCUACGGGUACGGCAGCGGCGGCCAUGGAAGCAGAAGCACUGCCGCCGUGGCCGCAGGCGGCGGCUGCGUCGGAGACCCGCUUCCGUUUCCGGGGAGAAGUGACCCUCAGCGUCGUCGUCAAGCUGAGCGACGAGCCGUCCACUGUGCGCCUGCGUGGCGGCCUCGUCUUGUCCCACGUGUCGCGCAGGGUCGAACCAAGGGGCCCGCCGGUCGACGUGACCAAUCACAAUCAAGCCGUCAGGAAGCUGGACCUGCAGUUCGAGAUCAGAGAUCACGCCGUCUUCCAGAGCAGCAAGGUCUGCAGCGAGCUCAUCCGAGAUAUGCUCGCCACCGCAGUCGAAAGCGAGUACAACAAACUCCCCGCCGACGCUGCAGAUUCAAUCCAAACGCCCGUUGACCUAGCAGCCACGGGGAUCGUGGAGCACGUUGGCCGUGAGAUCGACGAGAUCGUCGCCGCCGGGGGCGUCGUCCCUUGCUACGAAUUAGAGCAAGAAAUACCCCUGGUCUGUAUAACCCUGGUCUACGAGCCCAAGGCGCUGCUUCUCGCUUGCUAAGAAGCUGCCACCGGAGUCGUGGCACUCUGUGGCCGAAAGCGCCGCCGUGACCGUGAGCCUGAUGGGGUGUGCGCCAUCUGUUUGUUGGACUUGGAGACCGAGGACGAGGAGAAGGUCCGGCUGCCGUGCUCCCAUGCCUUCCAUACACCGUGCAUCGAGCCGUGGUUCGACAAGGCGUCGACGUGCCCCACUUGCCGGCUUGACAUUAUGGAGUGCUUUAGCUUUCUCAGAUCAGCGGCUCCAAGGAGCCGGAGAUGAACCACCAUUCCUAAAUGACGUAGACCCUGGAGGUGAUGUAUAGUUCAUAUUCCAUGAUGAACUAGUUACCUCCAAGCAUUGUAUAAUAUAGUUGCAGUUGCAGGCUUUCACUACAUUGUGGUGGUUUGGUUAUUUGUCAAGAGAGCCAUCUCUAGCUUUAGCUUGUCACUGGUGCUAGUUUCAGUUUCUGGGUGACUGGCAUGGUUUCGGGAGCGGAGCAUUGCCGCAGAGACACCUGUUGUGCUCCAAGCUGUGGAUACCGAAACUCGCCGCGGCGCCGUCCGGCACCGCACCGCAGAGCCGGUUGUAGUUGACGUCGGUCAGAUUCGCCAGCAGCACCGGGAUGCGGGACAUGCAUGUUGUGGUUGUAGAUCCUGUUGUGGCGUGGCCGGGCACGGGGCCGUCGACGCCGUCGUCCAGCAGGAUGUCAAGGCUGACGAUGCGGCCCGUGGAGCCUUCGCGGCCGACGCUGGGCCAGGCACAGCACGGGAAGUCCGGCGUCCAGGACGCGAAGUAGGAGGCGUUGUUGAAGGCUGCCUUCAGGCGACCAGCGCCGCUCGGAGUUGGAUGAGACCACCCUGUGGACGAUUCUUUCUUUCGGUAUGUAGGAAAAAUAAUUUUAAUGUCCAAAUACGUGCGUGUGCAUUUUCUUUUGUAAUUUUGAUUCCAAAGGGAAUGGAAUAUAAGAUGGGCAGCCUGAAUUUAUGGCUUUUUUUUUUGACUUCGUAUACCUAUCUUAUACUACAUAUUUAUGCGGCAUUUUUUUACGGGAGACUUUUGAUCUAUUCAUAUUUAACCAUGGCAAUACAAUGAACACAAGAAAUUUAAAAUUUACAUCCAGAUUCGUAGACCACUUAGCGACGACUACAAAUACUGAAGCGAGUUGAAGGCGUGCCGCCAUCAUUGCCCCUCUCUCGUCGGAGCUGGGCACAACUUGUUGUGGUAGACAGUUUGGAACUCGUCGGAGCUGGGCACAACUUGUUGUGGACUUGUGGUAGAUAGUUUGAAACUCGUCGUGCUAAGGCCCCAUAUGACCAACGCACCAGAAAGAACAGCAAUCGCCAUCAAUGAAGAGAAGUUUAAAUCGGAAGGUUUCAACCUGAAGAUACAUGAACAAAGACGAACAAAAACCGGAUCCGAGCGGAUCCACCAAAACAACCACGGACCGAAUCCCUUGAGAUCCGUCGGAGACACACCUCUACACGCCCUCCGACGAUGCUAAAGGCACCACCGGGACGGGGCUAGGUGGGGAGAACCUUAUUCCAGCUUCAAGAAAAGCCGUUGCAGACUCGUCUUCCUGAGCAGGACAUAAACUCUAACAAAACUUGAAGAAACACCUACAAAUGGAGCCCUCCCGUCAGCAAGGGCCCAGAAGACGUGGCAGAUCGACGGCGCCACCGACGGGAGGCAGAAACCCUAGCCGCCUUUUCUUGAAGAGACAAAGGAAUAACCGCUUGUUCUAUGAGGGAAGCUCUAUUUAUGCGUGAUUUUGAACCUAACGAGAUCCUCUGUUUGACAUUUCCCCCAACUUCUUGCAUUUGGUUCUUGGGGUAUAAGACUGGGAACAACCCAUUGCCACCAGAACCAUUGGGGCGUAUGGGAUUUUCAACCUAACAAGAUCCCCUGUUUAUUAUUAUAACUGUUCCUAACCGGAUGAACCAGCCAAGGUGAGAUAUUAGAAGAAACUGAACCAUUUUCAGUUCCCUUCCAAUCAAUCAUCCCAAGGUGAGUGAGAUAUUGCAGGAAAAGAAACUUGAUCAUCAUCUGUAUUUUCCUCGAAAAAGGCUAGUAAAACACGAGUAUCACCAACAUUGCAAUAAAAUGAAAGAAAUAGUUACCAGAUAAAGUUUCACCGGACUCAGAUCAUGAUAAUCAAUACAAGUGGAAAAUAUAUUUAUCUAAAGAACAUCUAACUACAUGAGUUCAGAUUGUUGUUUCCGCUACAGGUUUCAAGUUUCAAAUGUCAUACAACAUCCACGCAUUUACAAUUCACACAUUAUAAACAAAGGCAGUGCUGGUGAAACCGCUGCACCCUUCUUUUUCUGUAUCAACUCAGCAUACACAGAAUUCUCCAAGAAAUACCCAAACACCCGGGGGACCAAACAAGGCUUCACAAACAAUGUGGCCGCAAUGACUUCAAACCAGGCUCAACGACUAAUUUGCAGAUAACUAGAACUCAAGGCUUCGAUGAGAAGAGGUUGGGGUAGGAGAACGGAUCGUCCUCCAACGACGUUGAUCUCUGAGGCACAUGAGAUGGCGCAUAACCCUCAAGGUCAUUGGAAAAAGAGUCCUGAUGAUCAAAUACCGGUUUCUGCUCAGUUUGAUGAUGACUUUCCUUUUGGCUACCAUCACUGUGGCUCUCAUAAACCCUAGUGUUCUUCUUUAGAUCGGCAAUGCACAGUUUCGCAAGGUUUGCAGCAGCACGUGCUGCCGAUGCAGCUCGCUCUGCUGAAUCAGCAGCUGUUUGCGCAGCUGAAACCACGCCAUCCAUAUCAAUAUUUUCCCCGCUCUCUAUAGGAGAGAUCGAAUGCACCUGUUCUGGACGCUUCGAGAACAUGUUGAAAUCUUUGGGUGUUUGGGGAGCAGUCACUUCAUCAACUGACCUUGUGAAGAAUUCUUGCUCUGUUGGCUUCACUGGAGGAGAAUUUAAGGGAAUCGAGUCACUUCUCUCCAUAGAAGAAGCAGAAGCAAAUGGUGGGGGAGAGACAAAAGGAACAAAUUGCUUCUUUUCAUCUGGCAAAGCUGGCAUCCUUGGCUGAGCAAAUUGCGGAGAAACUGGGGGCUCUGAACUUUUCAGAUAAUUAUAGAACGCAGCAUCAGCUGUUGGAUUCUCUUCCAAGUCAGGUGGGUUUGAGAAAUCAUGAGCAGCCGACUGUGAGCUUUGCACAUGUGGACCAAUAUCUGGGGUUGAUUGAGUACCAGAAGCUGGACGAAUUGCUGCUUUUGGGACUUCAGGCAAAUCCAAUGAGUCAAAGCCGCCAUCAGAUUGAUAAUCUUCACCAGGUUCGUCAGCGGCAGUUGCAGCUACUGGUUCCUCGUGUUUCUCCUUUGGAAGUGGCAGUGUUGAACCACUGAAGUAGGUUGGUCCAUUCUAAUGAAAGGAAACAUGUUACAAGGUGAGAUUCAAAAUAAUGAACCAACCAUAGUUUAUUGUAUGUAUACACUAACCAAUAGAUCUUCAUGGGGUUUAAGAUAUUCUGUCUCUGUUUCUGAUGGAUCCCAGUCGAUCUCAUGCUCCUCAGCAAUCUCCUUCAGCAGUUUCAUCUUUAUAUCUACUGGAGGAGGACGGAUUGAAAGUAGUUCAAUUAUCUGCAUAGGUAUUGACUCGAAUCUUGUCAGCAUCAAUCCAAUGGUUAAGCAACAUAAAUAGAUUACUUCUUAUCAUGGAAGUUGGCAUAUGACCUGACGGUUGACCCCACAAUCCGGCAUAAGUUCUGCAGCUGCAGCAACAAACUCUUUCCCAUAUUUAGUUGCAAACAUCAUUUGGACUUGCAUCAGUUCAGGCAAAUCUGAACACCGAGGAGCAGCAAAACAGAUGCUGGAUAUUGCCUCUUUGAGAUCUAUAGGGCAUUCCCUGAAGCAGGAAAAGAAAUUUAACAGGUUAGGACAACCAAUUUAGCUGCAAGCCUAUGGAAACUGUAUAACCACAACAUUUGAGAGGGUACACUUCACCAACAAAUUGACUAAACACAUAUCAAGGAUAAUUUAUUUCUGUGCCUCCACCCAGGGAAUUCAGUCUAGACAGAUGGAGACCCAAAGAACUAUGCUGCACAAACAGCAGCAUGCAUAUAAAACCAGGUCUUUCCUUCGGUUCGGAAAAGGUCAAAUGGAGGCAACAAUCAGAUGCUUAGGGGCCACCAGAUAUGCAUCGUCUCACUAUUUACAGAAAAAUAAAGAAAUGACAUAAUCUGUUACAGAGACGAACUCACAUUAUGCAUUUCAUUACACGUUUGAAACAAAGCACAUGGGCUUCUUUUUGGAAGAAAGCCAGACUUAAGUUGAAUAGCGAUGGCAUUCAUCACAUGCCACAUCCAUCAUUCAACUGCAAAAGCAACUGAGCACUAACAACAGACUUGGGCAAACUCUGGGACUAGAGAGAGCUAUAAGUUCAGUAUGCCAAUAAAAAAGAGUCAUAAUUUAGUCAAAAACAUCAUUUGGACUUGCAUCAGUUCAGGCAAAUCUGAACACCUAGGAGCAGCAAAACAGAUGCUCGAUAUUGCCUCUUUGAGAUCUAUAUAGGGCAUUCCUUGAAGCAGGAAAGAAAUUGAACAGGUUGGGACAACCAAUUUAGCUGCAAGCCUAUGAAAACCGUAGAACAACCACAUUUGAGAGGAUACACUUUCAACAACAAAUUGAUUAAGGACAUAUGAAGGAUAAUUUAGUGAGUGCCUCCACCCAGGUAACUCUGUCUAGACAGAUGGAGACCCAAAGCAUCGUCUCAGUAUGUCAGAAAAAUAAAGAUCUGACAUAGAGUAAUCUACAAACGCUUAGCACAUAUGGCUACUGAAUAAGAAGAGGACAGGACAGGUGACAAACUUUUGGGCCUCUAUGAUGGGCAGGCGAACGGCGACGAGCUCGCAGAAGAGCUCGAGGAUCUCCUGCGCCGCCAUCAUGUUCUCCUCCCGGAUGAUGUGCUCCACCUGCGACCACAGAGAAGAAGCAAUUAAUCAUCAAUCCCCACCGCCCACCCCCAAAGUCCAAGAACCUAAUCCCUCUACUGCUAUUCCUUGGAAUCUGUACCCUGAUUCUGGCGGUGGCUUCCUGGCCGGCCUCGAGGAGCUUGGCGAUGUCCCGGCGCAUCUGGCGCAGCUGCAGCUCCCGGCGGUUCCGCAGCAGCUUUAUCCGCGGGAUGGACAGCUUGAGCAGCGUCUUGCUGCGUGUUUUCACCCCCCGCCAAUCAGAUCAGGAAACAGAUCGAAUGGAAUCGAAAUCAGAGCAGAAACCAGGGAAGAAAGCGUACCACUUGGCGGCGCGGAAGCCGCCGCCGCCGCCGCCGCCGCCCUUGCCAAAGAAGGCUUCCAGCAUCGACAUGUGGGUAAUCGAGUGGAGGACGCGACUGGCGCGUGGCCGCGUUGGGGUUCGAUCUAAUCUAACUGGAGACGGCCAGAGCAAGGAGGAGGUGGAGACGAUGGUGAGGGAGGGGCUGUGCCGUCUGCCGUGUGCGCGUCCAGCCCUGCCUGGAUCCACCUGCUCCACCGCGACGAGAAUCUGACCGUCCGUUUGGACACGUGUAUCAGCGAUGGGACGGUUGGGUGGCUUUGUUGUCUCGGACUUUGCUUCACUCCGAAGAAAACUAUGAUUCCUUCUCAAGUAGUAGUACGUUUCGGUGUGUUAAUAAUAUAUUUUUUUCGACCGGUGAUAAUAAGAUUAUUAGAGCAACUCCAAUGGGCCGACCCAAACGGACGGCGCAUUUGUCCGCCUUUUGUUUGUUUGGGUCGGCCGUCCGCCCGGUGUCCGUCCAGUUUUGCAUUUGGGUCGGCAGUGCGCCCAACGCGCCGACCCAUUUCAUGCCCGCAUUCAACUUUUAAAUAAAAAGGGCCGACGGCCAUGUCUCAUGCCGGCACCAUGCCAGCGCUGACAUACAAUGCCGGUUUCAGAAAUAUCACCACAGUUCAUGCUGGCGCACUCGUCAGCCGGCCGGCACACAUGUCAGCACACAAAAAGGGGUGGGACUUGAGUUCGACCACGCCAUCUCGACUCCCGUGGUCAUGCCGGCACACCUGCCGACAUACAAAAAAGAUGGCCCUCGCCGCCCUAGAACACUCGUCGUCGAACUUGAGCAUGUCGGCCUGCAUCUUCUCGAACCACGGCCUCUUCCUUGGCGACACGGUGUUGAGAUCCACCUUCAUGAUCUCCACCACGGUCAUCAUGCUCGCAAGAGCCACUUCUUUCGCCUUGGUCUUGGCGUUGGCGACCUCGAUAUCUAGCAUCCUGGCUUGCUUCUCCGCCUCGAGCUCGAACAUCUUGCCUUGCUUCUCGGCGUCAAGAUCAAGCCUCCUCCUUUGGAUCUCCAUGAAAGCAUCCAUUUGCUCCGCCUUGAAACACCGGCGCUCCUCCUCCCUUGAGUCAUUCUUAUUCAUCAUGUCGUCCACACUUGCGAUCAAGGCGUUGGUGGCCGCAUCUCGCUUGUCCUCCUUCUUGGAGUUGGUCUUUCCCCGCGGCCUACGGGUAGACGUGGAAGCCGGGGACCGGGUUGCAAACCGACGCGCGGGGUGACUCGGGCAGCACCAUCCGAGGAAACACCGACGAGCCGGUGCUGGCCGCGGCGACGGCGGCUUGGACGAGGCUGUGCUGGCUAGGAUUUACCCCUAGCAUGUAGAGCGCCUCCCUCGUUGCCGCCGCGACGCGGGCAUUGGUGAACUCCUGCUGCGCGGCGGCGACGACGGCGGCCUGCGCGGCGGCCUCAUCCCUCGCGUCAGCGGCGUGCCUCCGGCCCUUCCACUUGGCCGGCUCCCUUGCCCACUGUUCGGGCGUCAGCGCCUUCUUCGGCUUGGUCGUGGCGACGGUCUUGCGCGGGGCACGAGUCUUGCCUUUCCUGGAGGGGGCGACGGCGCGGGACGAGGCGAGGGAGGCGAGGUCGGCGGCGACGUCGAGGUCGAGGUCGAGGUCGAUGGCGUCGUCCAUGGUUGGGGCGGGAGCGAGCGCGCGCGGGCGUGAGUGUUUCUGGGAAAAAUGGGGGGAAAUGGUGGUGGCUGCCACCGCAGGCGGGCCCGAGGAGAGGAGUAGGCGCGCGCGCGUCUGUCUCGUGUCCGCGCCAAAACAAAUCAGGCUCAAAAUUGGGCCGGGAAUGGGUCACCCGCGGAUGAAAAACGGACGCGCGUCCGUUUGGGUCGGCGCGUUGGGCCGUCACUUUUGUCCGCGCCAAUCCAAACGGACGCGGGCGGAUGAAACGGGUCGCCCCAUUGAAGUUGCUCUUAAAUUAGUCCCGUAAAAAAAUUAUUUAGUUAUUAAUCCGUUUGACCAAACAAUUUUACGUGUUUUGGCGUUUGUUCGGUCCACUUUUGACUACCUACUAAGGGCAUCUCUAGGGGAACUUAAAAGAUAGAGGAGUAAACCGUCGAGGAAAUCUUAGUGAGGUAAUUUCACUUCACUAAGUUUUAGCCGGACCUAACUAGUCUCCUAAAUUAGCGGAGUAAAAUUUCUUUUGGUCAAGUUCAUUUCCAUUUUGGGCCCUAAUAUAAACUUCACUAUUUUUUUAUUUUAUUAAACGACAUCUUGAUACGCCGAAGUACAUAAUUUGCCAAUUCUUUGCUAAGGGAACUGAUCCAAAAAAAACCACAAAAAAAUACACACUUUAAUAGAAAUCCAACUUCCAUAACUGCUUCCAUUAGUUGAAUAAAUAUUUGCUCUAUGUUUUCAAUUCCAACAUUGUUGAUUUUCUUAAUUGGCUUCUGGACCUUGCACACUUCUUUCUUCUUGGUUUCCGCACAAUUUCACAUUGUUUCGUCUCUACUCUCAUCUCUCUGGAAGCGGAUUUGUAGCAUCUGGGUGCUUCACCCCCUAGAUGAACAUUAAGUUUAAUAAAUACCAAAAUUUUUGAAAAAAGUUAGGAUUUUGGGAUAUCAAACUUGGGUGUCCGAUCUACUUUUAUGUGAAUUUCGUGAAAAAUACCAGGAAACCUAUUUGUGGCACGAAAGAAAAAAAUUCCUAUGAAUAGAGACAAACUGUUUGGAUGGUUUUUUGUUCGGAUAGUAUUUCCUUCAUCAAGGAUACGUUUUCUGGUAUUUUUUCAUGAUGCUUCACACGGGAGUAUAUUGGGAACCCAGCUUUGAUAUCCCCAAAUUUCAGGAAAAUGAUUUUUUGGUAUUUUUUAUAUUUAAUAUUUUUAUAGAGACGUGGAGCACCCAGAAGCUCAUGUGUAUUUUCCCAUCUCUAGUCUCUACUCUGGCAAGUAGUGCAUGAGCAUCUAUCAAAUUUUUUGUUAUCAAUAGAUCGAUGCAUUCUUCUUCCCAAUAUACCAAAUAUUGCAUCCAUGCUACACAUAAUUUUGAGUAAACAAUAAGCUACAAAUUGACAAAUCCGAAGAACAACAGUAGAAACAAGCACUCACCCAAUCCAUUUGCGUCCAAUCUGAAGAACAACCGGAUGCAUCCCAUCCGGCGCCAACAGCGAGGAUCGUGUAUCUGCCGAUUUAUGCGCCGACGACGAUAAGAGAGGCCCAAAUACGGGUGGGUGAGGAACGUGGUGGGUCCUAUGAAUUGUCGGCGGAUGGCCAGCGAAAACGGGAAGGGAGGCGCCGGAGUAGAUGCGGCGCGAAGGUGGCGGUCCGAUCGAGGGGGAGAAGAUUUUUUUACUCGAGCGGUGGGCAGCUAACUAAAAAUAGAUGCAUGUGGGGUGGAGGAGUAAACUUUUUUACUCCGCUAUGAAGUUUAGGAGUCCGGUUAGGUGCCGGCUAAUUUUUGCUUCUUUUGUAGCCUUUUAGGGACCGGCUAGAGAUGCUCUAAUAAUUUAUAAAAAAUCGAGGAAUGAAAUCUACACUAUUUCCUAAAAAGGACAGACUAUACAUUGUCUAAAAAUAAUUCUGGGAAAGUCGGGUUUUCUAAGCCAUUAGAUUAAGAUCCAACGACACAAAUGUCUUAUUCUCACCCUGAUCUUAAAUGCAUCCUCAUAAAAAGUAAAAUCACAAAAAAUAGUAAAAGAAUUCAAAAAAUUCUGAUUUUUUUUGUGGUAUUGACAAAUGUUUGGUAUGCCUACAAAAUUUCAGCACGAAAUGACAUUCAUGAGAGUCGUGGCAAAAAAACAAAAUCAAUACUCCAAAAUGUUUUCAAAACUAGCAUAUUUGGGCCGGAAGGAAACGGCAGCACAUAGUUUAUUCAACCAGUUUGGCCAGUGAGCCACUCGUAGAUUAUGUGGACGAGCGAUGUAAUCUCCGGCCCGGCCGAUUAUGGUUGUCUUUUAUUUUUUAUUUUUCUUGUUGUAUUGUACUCAAUGACUUGAACUUGGUUCAAAUUUAAUAAAAUGGAUGUGUGCAUCAUUUAAUGCUGAGGCCAGGGUAAUCUCUUUUUGUUAAAAGAAUGUGAUAAUGCAAGGCAUAGCUCUAGCUUUCCAGCUUUCAGCCCUUUCAGUCACUGUCCACAAUCAGAUUCUUCAGAGGCUCUAUCCAUCCUAUCAAGUGAUGGAUUGACAUGGUCGACCUAUGGGCAUCUUGUUCUAGAAAUCAGACCUUAGGGAGUUUAUUCCACA
This 29423-nucleotide long non-coding RNA is filed under the name Triticum aestivum (bread wheat). RNAcentral describes it as "long non-coding RNA (TAES_LNC027954)". Lineage: Eukaryota; Viridiplantae; Streptophyta; Magnoliopsida; Poales; Poaceae. The record is from RNAcentral.